Haliotis rubra (blacklip abalone) is the source of this 358-nucleotide long non-coding RNA. RefSeq lists it as uncharacterized. Lineage: Eukaryota; Metazoa; Mollusca; Gastropoda; Lepetellida; Haliotidae. The transcript has 2 exons. The record is from RefSeq and is a predicted model, not a curated record.
ACAUUUUUCGGCAAUGGCGAUAACACUGUUACAUUGGGCAUGCCGUGGAUAAUCAUACUCGACACUCGCUAUGUGACUCAGAAAACUAUGUCAUGUCACAUGCCCAGACUAUAAACGCACUAAGGCAAUGCUGCAUGAAUAGCACGUGGAUACCUGCCAAACAGCUGGAGAGUUGUCACCGCGUCGUCUUCAGGCUGGCAAUUAGUCGAGUUGCAACAGAAGCACACCUUUACGAGGAGAAAGGAGGAGGAAUUAUUAGAUCACCACAAUUACCAUUGACAUCAAGAGCAACACAAACUGAAACAGAUCUUCAGAUUUCUUUUAACAUCUGGUGUUCAAGCAAUACAUUGCCAAUGAA